UACGUAGGGUGCAGGCGUUAAUCGGAAUUACUGGGCGUAAAGCGUGCGCAGGCGGUCUUUUAAGUCAGAUGUGAAAUCCCCGGGCUUAACCUGGGAACUGCGUUUGAAACUGGAAGGCUAGAGUGUGGCAGAGGGGGGUGGAAUUCCACGUGUAGCAGUGAAAUGCGUAGAGAUCAGGAGGAACACCGGUGGCGAAGGCGGCCAUCUGGUCGAAUAUUGACGCUGAGAUGCGAAAGUGCGGGGAUCAAACAGG
This 253-nucleotide ribosomal RNA is filed under the name uncultured bacterium. Its description in RNAcentral is "partial 16S ribosomal RNA". It matches the Rfam family "Bacterial small subunit ribosomal RNA", at positions 524 to 776 of the family's 1533-position model. The record is from RNAcentral.